UGGGGAAUAUUGCACAAUGGGCGCAAGCCUGAUGCAGCCAUGCCGCGUGUGUGAAGAAGGCCUUCGGGUUGUAAAGCACUUUCAGCGAGGAGGAAGGUGGUGAGCUUAAUACGCUCAUCAAUUGACGUUACUCGCAGAAGAAGCACCGGCUAACUCCGUGCCAGCAGCCGCGGUAAUACGGAGGGUGCAAGCGUUAAUCGGAAUUACUGGGCGUAAAGCGCACGCAGGCGGUUUGUUAAGUCAGAUGUGAAAUCCCCGGGCUCAACCUGGGAACUGCAUUUGAAACUGGCAAGCUAGAGUCUCGUAGAGGGGGGUAGAAUUCCAGGUGUAGCGGUGAAAUGCGUAGAGAUCUGGAGGAAUACCGGUGGCGAAGGCGGCCCCCCUGGACGAAGACUGACGCUCAGGUGCGAAAGCGUGGGGCAGCAAACAGGAUUAGAUACCCUGGUAGUCCAGCGCUGUAAAACGAUGUCGAUUUGGAGGUUGUGCCCUUGAGGCGUGGCUUCCGGAGCUAACGCGUUAAAUCGACCGCCUGGGGGAGUACGGCCGCAAGGUU
Molecule: ribosomal RNA, 553 nt
Filed under: uncultured bacterium
Lineage: Bacteria
Description: partial 16S ribosomal RNA
Rfam family: Bacterial small subunit ribosomal RNA
Source: RNAcentral